UACGAAGGGGGCUAGCGUUGUUCGGAAUUACUGGGCGUAAAGCGCACGUAGGCGGGUUGUUAAGUCAGGGGUGAAAUCCUGGAGCUCAACUCCAGAACUGCCUUUGAUACUGGCAACCUAGAGACUGGAAGAGGUUAGUGGAAUUCCCAGUGUAGAGGUGAAAUUCGUAGAUAUUGGGGAGAACACCAGUGGCGAAGGCGGCUAACUGGUCCAGCACUGACGCUGAGGUGCGAAAGCGUGGGGAGCAAACAGG
RNAcentral lists this ribosomal RNA (253 nucleotides) under uncultured bacterium. RNAcentral's name for it is "partial 16S ribosomal RNA". It matches the Rfam family "Bacterial small subunit ribosomal RNA", at positions 524 to 776 of the family's 1533-position model. The record is from RNAcentral.